Molecule: unclassified non-coding RNA, 347 nt
Filed under: soil metagenome
Description: partial contains 5.8S ribosomal RNA, internal transcribed spacer 2, and large subunit ribosomal RNA
Rfam family: 5.8S ribosomal RNA (bases 1-119)
Source: RNAcentral
GAUGAAGAACGCAGCGAAAUGCGAUAAGUAAUGCGAAUUGCAGAAUCCGUGAGUCAUCGAAUCUUUGAACGCACAUUGCGCCCUUUGGUAUUCCGAAGGGCAUGCCUGUUCGAGCGUCAUUAUCACCCCUCAAGCCCCGGCUUGGUGUUGGGCUCUCGGUGGUCGUCUCCGACCACCCGUCUCAAAGAUAGGGACGGCGUCCCAGAGGGAACCGGUACGAGGAGCUUUCACGAGCAUGUACGCGGGACGACUCUGCGGGCGACGGUCUUAUUUACUUUAUAUACAAGUGUUGACCUCGGAUCAGGUAGGAAUACCCGCUGAACUUAAGCAUAUCAAUAAGCGGAGGA